Molecule: long non-coding RNA, 1501 nt
Filed under: Oncorhynchus kisutch (coho salmon)
Lineage: Eukaryota; Metazoa; Chordata; Actinopteri; Salmoniformes; Salmonidae
Description: lncRNA (ENSOKIG00005031921.1)
Source: RNAcentral
UAUUUUAAUUAUGAUGUCACAACUGAUCAAUAAAUUCCAAAUGUUCUGUUUGAACAUUCUGGUGUCUGGUUGCUAAAAAUAGAACACCAGUAUCUAAGACAAUCUAGCAGAUUCCUCCUGAGAUAUAGUUAACACAGUAGAUCACCAUAAAAUAUAGAAAGUGCUACUAGACGAAAACUUAGUUGCAGAACGAGGUUAGAAGAAUGCCACUGUCAAUCUCCUUGAUGAUGAGGAGAUUCUUGCGGCCGCUACAGGAAGAUAAUGCUUUAACAGGAAAUCUUGGAGCUGCCAGUAGCAACUCCGUUCAGCCUGCCCUGCCAUCUCAACCCAAGGCCACUGAGAAGCUUCCAGGGCUCAAACAAAACCGUUUUAACACCUCCAGAAUCACAGUACUGGAGUUGACUGAAGAAAGAAAGGGUGCUCUGCAGCGACUUGCCAGUUUGAAGGCUGUGGAAAAGAAACCACAUCCUCCCUCCAGAAUCCCAGUACUGCAGAAAAAGAGGUCCAUCUGCAAUGGGAGGAGUCAAGGACAGCAUGUAGCUCCAACAUCUCAGCAGUCAGGAAAGGCUUCUGUUCCUCCCAUCCAUAUUCCACUGCAACCCAUCCGUACCAAGAGGGAUCAAACCUGCAUGGUGAAAGACAUCUACCUCCAUAGUGCCAAGCCAUUGAAGGCAGUCCAUGGAGCCAAUAUGGUCACCAAGAUGCCACUGCCUCCCAUUAGAGCCAGAGUCACUGUGCCAAACAAUGACGCCAAGAAGAAGCCAUUCCAGCCAGUCAGACCAGAGGGCAGCCCUCGUCCUGCUGCUUCAAAGUACAGAAGGCAGGUUGUGAAGAAACACGUUCAGUUCAAGACUCAGACCCUAACUGUACAGGAUCUACCGCCAUGCCCCGAUGAUAUGGUAUGGGACGUCUUUAACUCAGAGGCUGAGCAGGUGAUGGCAUAUAUGAAGGCCAAGCUGAUCAGUGUCACCCAAGAAUUGAAACUGAUUAAGAGUGGGGCCAAGUUGGAUGCUCAGGCUUUAGAGGAGAAAAACGCAAAAGUGCGGUUGAGAAAAAAGGUGGAGAAGUUCAUCCAGGAGAUUUGCCUGAUGAAGGUGGAUUCUGACCUAUGGGAGAUGAUAAGAGAUAACGAAGAAGAGGAAGAAAGGAGUAAAGAGGUGAGGAGAAAUGAAGAACAAAGCAGUGUGGCAAGUAAGCCAAAGCAGACAGCCAUGAGAUAUACUGUGAUCAAGCCAAAGGAAGUCAAGAAGGGUUUGAACAUGGAAGAGAAAAAGGAGGACAGACAGGUAAAGUAGCUUGACAUUCCAAAGCCAUGCUAACUGCUGAUCUAGUAUAGUGUUGGUGAUCACGUGUGUUUGUAUCAGAGGAGGCUGAUAGGAUGAGUUAUAGGAGGAUAGGAUCGUUGUAAUGGCUGGAAUGAAAUGAAUUGUUCGAAACAAACGUGGUUUCCAUGUGAUUGAUGUGUGUGAUACCGUUCCUUUUAUUCUAUUCCAGCCAUUAC